CAAGGUUUGAAACUCAAAGGAAUUGACGGGACCCCGCACAAGCGGUGGAUGAUGUGNUUUAAUUGGAUGCAACGCGAAAACCCUAACNUACCUUUUGACAUGUACGGGAAUUCGCCAGAGAUGGUUUAGUGCUCGAAAGAGAACCGUAACACAGNUGCUGCAUGGCUGUCGUCAGCUCGUGUCGUGAGAUGUUGGGUUAAGUCCCGCAACGAGCGCAACCCUCGUCCUAUGUUGCCAGCACGUAAUGGUGGGAACUCAUGGGAUACUGCCGGGGUCAACUCGGAGGAAGGUGGGGAUGACGUCAAAUCAUCAUGCCCCUUAUGUCUUGGGCUUCACGCAUGCUACAAUGGUCGGUACAAAGGGCUGCGAUACCGCAAGGUGGAGCGAAUCCCAAAAAGCCGGUCUCAGUUCGGAUUGAGGUCUGCAACUCGACCUCAUGAAGUCGGAGUCGCUAGUAAUCGCAGAUCAGCAACGCUGCGGUGAAUACGUUCCCGGGCCUUGUACACACCGCCCGUCAAGUCAUGAAAGUCGGUAACACCCGAAGCCGGUGGCCUAACCCGUAAGGGGAGGAGCUGUCGAAGGUGGGAUCGGUGAUUAGGACUAAGUCGUAACAAGGU
This 617-nucleotide ribosomal RNA is filed under the name uncultured Actinomycetes bacterium. Its description in RNAcentral is "bacterial SSU rRNA". It matches the Rfam family "Bacterial small subunit ribosomal RNA", at positions 889 to 1497 of the family's 1533-position model. Lineage: Bacteria; Bacillati; Actinomycetota; Actinomycetes. The record is from RNAcentral.